RNAcentral lists this ribosomal RNA (253 nucleotides) under uncultured bacterium. Its description in RNAcentral is "partial 16S ribosomal RNA". It matches the Rfam family "Bacterial small subunit ribosomal RNA", at positions 524 to 776 of the family's 1533-position model. The record is from RNAcentral.
GACAGAGGGUGCAAACGUUGUUCGGAAUUACUGGGCGUAAAGCGUGUGUAGGCGGUCCACUAAGUCGGGUGUGAAAGCCCUGGGCUCAACCCAGGAAGUGCACUCGAAACUGGCGGGCUAGAGUAUCGGAGAGGUUGGUGGAAUUCUCGGUGUAGAGGUGAAAUUCGUAGAUAUCUGGAGGAACACCGGUGGCGAAGGCGGCAUCCUGGACCGAUACUGACGCUGAGGAGCGAAAGCCAGGGGAGCAAACGGG